Molecule: long non-coding RNA, 662 nt
Filed under: Mus spicilegus (steppe mouse)
Lineage: Eukaryota; Metazoa; Chordata; Mammalia; Rodentia; Muridae
Description: lncRNA (ENSMSIG00000001265.1)
Source: RNAcentral
GGCCUUUGUGAAUGUAUGCAAGGCAUACCAAGACUUCAGGAAAUUGUGUUGCGGAGGGGGCUACAGGGAGGAUAAAGAUAGAGAAACAAAGUAGCUGUCCCCACUAGAGUAACCUAUGGAUGUCUGCCUAACUCUCACCAGAGACAGAUUAGACAUAGUCAGAGACUGUACAAGUGGCAUCUGACCAUGUGAUUUGGUUGGUGCAGGUGCUUCUCAAGCCCUUGGGUCCCACCCUCAGCGCACGAAGAAGAUGGAUGCACAGCAGAAACGAGAGCCCGGAACAACCCCCACGAGAUCCCAGGAACAGAUCCAUGGAGGACCCAGAAUGUACUGGGAAAGAAAGAAGGCUAUUCGAGCUCACCAGGCCUGCUAAAACGGAGGACCACAGGCUGUCAGUGACAGAAGAAAUCAGUUUCCUCCAGGUCUGGAGGCUGCCAUCCACGGUCAAGAGAGGGCAGGCUGAUGUCUUCGGAGGCCUUCUUUCCUGGGCUUAGCGAUGGCUAUCUCCUUCCUGUGCCUUCCCACUGCCCCCUCAACCCCCACUGUAAAUAUUGUGUCCUAAAUUCCUCUUCUUCUAAAGACACAGUCUUACUGGAUUAAGGCCUCAACGCCCUCUUUUUACUUCACCGCUAUAAAAGCUGAGCCCAGAUAGAAGUCCUGAG